UGCUCACACUCACACUCCCCGUGUGCUCACACUCACACUCCUCGUGUGCUCACACUCACACUCCCCGUGUGCUCACACUCACACUCCUCGUGCGCUCACACACCCCGUGAACCCGCACCCCUGCACGAUGCACCGCACACUCGUGGAUUGGCACGGCUGCACCACGCGUUCCCUCAGCUCCCGCACCCUCACGCGCUGCUGCAGCGGCGCACGCGCGCUCACAGCAGGCUGCACACGCGCGCCUUCACUCAUCGGGCACAGCCGGGCCCCGGUGCCAGCACACACCCACAGCCUCCUGCACCCCUCCUUGCCGCCAUGACCCCUCCGUGCCCCCAUGACCCCUCCGUGCACGCGCACCCUCGUGCGCCCCCUCCGCGCGUGCGCGCGCCCCUUCCCGCCCUCGGCGGGGCCUCUGUUCCGGAGCGGCAGCGGUCGCUAUGGCGACCCCGUACGGUCACUCGCGCAUGCGCGGUGCCGCCGCCAUGGCGUCCCCUCAGGGCUCCGGGCGCGCCCUCCGGCCAGCGCGGCACCGCCGGGGUCACCUCAGCUUUUCCUCGCUCUGACCCUUUUGGCCGUGUCUCGGCUCCCUGAAGUUACCUCUGGGUUUUUUAGCCUUGGGUUUCGCGCCCUUCACCUUCCUCUCAGGGUCUCACUCACAAAUCCCCUCCUCAGGUUUCCUGUCCCCGACGUUCCCCCUCAGACUUGUUCCCAGCUUCCCCCUUUCCCUGCAUCCAUCCCCAGCUCUUUUUCUCCGUACUUUCCGUUUCUCCCCCAGCCUCCCUGGCUCUGGGGUCCUUCCCCUGCGUACCCCCAGUGAGGGGUAAGUGCUAGAAAGGCUUCGGUCUUUCUGUCCCAAGAAGUGAGUGCUGAUGGCGUGAAGUGUGAAUGGGGACAGGUCUGGGGUGCACUGCUUCUCAUCCUUCAGCUGAGGCCUGUCCACAGUCAGAUGAACUGCUCCCUCAUCCCAAAUGAUCUUGUGGACUUCAGGUGUGGAAGGACCAAAAGUCCCUCGCAGUGCGUGUUUGAGAGGUUCCACCUGGAAUGAAUUUACCAGGGGAGGUUGGAUGAGGCGCUGAAGGGUGGUGAGCAGCCAGCUGUGGGAGAGGCUCCCUGUGCUCUGCAGCCUCACCCCAAAUCCUCCCCGUGCUGUGCAGUGUGCUGAAAAUGCCAGCUUCCAGCUGAAGGCUUCCUGCCUCCUACCUACACAUCUACAGUGAGGCCAUGAGGCACCUUCUAGGAGCUGACACCAAGCAGAACUGGAGAAGCUUGAGUGCCAGAAUAUGAAGUUCCAUGAGGAGCAUGGAAGCUGAGAGGUACUUUAGUGAAAGCUUAGGAGCAGGAUGCAGUUGGAGACAUCCAGUGUAUCCCAUGUGAUAGUGGCUGGGAGCUCAGCAGCAACUCUGUGAAAAUCCUUUACUGGACAAGGAUAGAAUAAAGUGUUCAUUGGGCAAUUUCUUUCUCA
Molecule: long non-coding RNA, 1462 nt
Organism: Parus major (Great Tit)
Lineage: Eukaryota; Metazoa; Chordata; Aves; Passeriformes; Paridae
Exons: 2
Source: RefSeq, a predicted model, not a curated record